This 377-nucleotide ribosomal RNA is filed under the name uncultured organism. Its description in RNAcentral is "partial 16S ribosomal RNA". It matches the Rfam family "Bacterial small subunit ribosomal RNA", at positions 525 to 897 of the family's 1533-position model. The record is from RNAcentral.
GUAGGGGGGGCAAGCGUUGUCCGGAAUCAUUGGGCGUAAAGCGCGUGUAGGCGGGCUUGGGUAAGUCCGGUGUGAAAACUUGGGGGCUCAACUCCAAGCCUGCAUCGGAAACUGCCUCGCUAGAGUCCGGGAGGGAGAGCGGAAUUCCUAGUGUAGCGGUGAAAUGCGCAGAUAUUAGGAAGAACACCGGUGGCGAAGGCGGCUCUCUGGAACGGUACUGACGCUAAGACGCGAAAGCGUGGGGAGCAAACAGGAUUAGAUACCCUGGUAGUCCACGCCGUAAACGAUGGGCACUAGAUGUGGGCGGUGUCGACUCCGUCCGUGUCGUAGCUAACGCAUUAAGUGCCCCGCCUGGGGAGUACGGCCGCAAAGGCUAA